This 582-nucleotide ribosomal RNA is filed under the name Fusarium sp. Fusa25. Its description in RNAcentral is "eukaryotic LSU rRNA". The stretch from base 224 to 377 matches the Rfam family "5.8S ribosomal RNA". Lineage: Eukaryota; Fungi; Ascomycota; Sordariomycetes; Hypocreales; Nectriaceae. The record is from RNAcentral.
AGUACGUUUCUCAGGGUUGAUGAGUGGUAUAACUCGGAAAUAAUCUUCCUUCACUCCGACCCGAGGUUUGAUCAGGUCUGCGUUUUUUCCUCCCAUGACACCCUUUCAUCAUUCGGUGUUGUUUGGUGGGGGGGGGGCCCCUGUCCCACUGCCGCCCCCGCCCGCGGACCCCCCCACUCUGUGUCUAUAAUGUCUCUUUUGUGUGGGGAAGCAAAUAAAUUAAAACUUUCAACAACGGAAACCCCUGCUCCGGCAUCGAUGAAGAACGCAGCGAAAUGAGAUAAGUAAUGUGAAUGGCAGACUUCAGUGAAUCAUGGAAUCUUUGAAAGCACAUGGCGCCCGCCAGUAUUAUGGCGGGCAUGCCUGUUCGAGCGUCAUUACAACCCUCAGGCCCCCGGGCCUGGCGUUCGGAUGGGCGGAAGCCCCCUGCGGGCACAACGCCGUCCCCCAAAUACAGUGGCGGUCCCGCCGCAGCUUCCAUUGCGUAGUAGCUAACACCUCGCAACUGGAGAGCGGCGCGGCCACGCCGUAAAACACCCAACUUCUGAAUGUGACCUCGAAUCAGGUAGAGUACGAUCCGCC